Molecule: long non-coding RNA, 1359 nt
Organism: Ipomoea triloba (trilobed morning glory)
Lineage: Eukaryota; Viridiplantae; Streptophyta; Magnoliopsida; Solanales; Convolvulaceae
Exons: 3
Source: RefSeq, a predicted model, not a curated record
AAAUUUGCAGUUAGUUUGCUCCCAGUGUUGCAGUGGCAGGAAGAAGGCUAGCCCAAAAGACAUAAUGAAAAUUAAGAUGAGGUUUUAAAAUCAACUGUAUGGUAAAAAGUUAAAAACCCACCUUGUAAACCUCUACGCUCCCUUUGGAAAAUGCCAUUUUUCACAGUUAGGUUUCGACUCCGAGCAAAACCGGUAUACUUUCACCUUUGCUUUGAAAGCUUGCACCAAGAUGUUGGACUUGGAAAAGGGUCGUGAUAUUCAUGAUGAUGUAUCUAGGAGGAACCUUGAAUGUGAUGUGUUUAUUGGGACCUGACUUGUCUCCCUCUAUUGUAAAACGGGUAAUUUAAAGAGCGCAAGGGAGAUGUUUGAUAAAAUGCCUAAAAGGGACUUGGUUGCUUGGAAUGCAAUGGUUUCUGGAUUUUCUCAGAGUUCAGAGCCGCUAAUGCAUUAGAGGUUUUUAGUACAUGCAGUUUAGUUGUGGGGUUCAGCCUAAUUCCGUAAGUUUGUUGAAUUUGUUUCCCGCAGUUUGCAAGUUCACGGACGAGAUGAUUUGCAGGUCUAUUCAUGGGUUUGUUUAUAAUGGCCUGAUUGAUAUGUACUCAAAAUGUGGACACUCCAAUGUAGCUCAUCAAGUUUUUUAUCAGAUGAGAGUGAGAAAUGAUGUUUCAUGGGGUACAGUGAUGGCUGGUUAUGCGUAUACUGAGAACUUCCGUGAAGUUCUGGAGCUUUUUGAUUGCAUGAAAAGAGAAGAUUUGAAAUGAAUAAGGUAUCUGCUAUAAGUGCAUUGUUGGGAGCUGCUGAGAUGAAGGAUCUAGAAAAAGGUGUGGAGAUUCAUAAUUAUACAAUUCAAGAAGGGAUUGAUUCAGACAUUAUGAUUGCUACUUCUCUAAUGACAAUGUAUGCUAAAUGUGGAAAACUCUCAUCUGCUGAAUUCCUGUUUCAUAAUUCUGUUGCUAAAGACGAGGUUUCUUGGAACACAAUGAUUGCGGGAUACGUGCAGAGUGAACCCGAGGUAUAUGAAUGUGGCUGUGUGUGCUAUGAAUUGUUUGAAAGUGAAAAUGAAGUAUACAUAUGCAGAAGGCCAUAGAAGAAGAAUUACACUGGAAAUUUAGGAGAUGUAAGCCAAACCAUACAUCUUCGGCUGCUUGGCAAAGGUGUAACCGAUCCAGAAAGGCUGUUAAAUAUGAAGGAAUCACCUGCAUCUUGUCCUUGAAGUGACGGUUUGCAAGAAGGCAGACUACUUCCAGGAUCUAAUAGAUGUUCGGUAAAAAUUGUGAGUAGAAACUAUCUUCUCAACCAACUUUUUACUAGAAGUUUUUGAUAUUCAAACUCUGCAACAUAAUCUCUCUGUUCAGACAU